GGCGGAAUAGUUCAGUGGCUAGAACGAUGGAAUCAUAUCCCAUAAGCCGAGGGUUCGAAUCCCCCUUCCGCUA
This is a transfer RNA of Auxenochlorella protothecoides, 73 nucleotides long. It matches the Rfam family "tRNA". Rfam says of the family: Transfer RNA (tRNA) molecules are approximately 80 nucleotides in length. Their secondary structure includes four short double-helical elements and three loops (D, anti-codon, and T loops). The record is from Rfam. Lineage: Eukaryota; Viridiplantae; Chlorophyta; Trebouxiophyceae; Chlorellales; Chlorellaceae.